Molecule: non-coding RNA, 205 nt
Organism: Pelobates cultripes (western spadefoot toad)
Lineage: Eukaryota; Metazoa; Chordata; Amphibia; Anura; Pelobatidae
Source: the annotation of a GenBank genome assembly
CUUUGUGUUCCUGGCCCAUCUGUACUCAUUAGACGUGCAAUUCGUUUCGGUCCGAAUAUGAAUUCGGACGAAUUUCAGGCAAUUCGGACAUUCGGGUACUUCCGAAUGUCCAAAUUGCCGAAGUUCAGAAAUUACCAAAUUUUCGAAGUGCCAAAGUUCCGAAGCACUGUAUUGCCUAAGUACUAAUAUACUUACCCAGUGAAAG